AGUGAACGCUGGCGGUAGGCCUAACACAUGCAAGUCGAACGGCAGCACAGUAAGAGCUUGCUCUUACGGGUGGCGAGUGGCGGACGGGUGAGGAAUACAUCGGAAUCUACUUUUUCGUGGGGGAUAACGUAGGGAAACUUACGCUAAUACCUCAUACGACCUACGGGUGAAAGCAGGGGAUCUUCGGACCUUGCGCGAUUGAAUGAGCCGAUGUCGGAUUAGCUAGUUGGCGGGGUAAAGGCCCACCAAGGCGACGAUCCGUAGCUGGUCUGAGAGGAUGAUCAGCCACACUGGAACUGAGACACGGUCCAGACUCCUACGGGAGGCAGCAGUGGGGAAUAUUGGACAAUGGGCGCAGGCCUGAUCCAGCCAUACCGCGUGGGUGAAGAAGGCCUUCGGGUUGUAAAGCCCUUUUGUUGGGAAAGAAAAGCAGCAGGUUAAUACCCCGCUGUUCUGACGGUACCCAAAGAAUAAGCACCGGCUAACUUCGUG
This 492-nucleotide ribosomal RNA is filed under the name uncultured bacterium. Its description in RNAcentral is "partial 16S ribosomal RNA". It matches the Rfam family "Bacterial small subunit ribosomal RNA", at positions 29 to 507 of the family's 1533-position model. The record is from RNAcentral.